CCGCAUGUUACUAAGCAAGGAAGUGAAUAAGUAUUCCUACAUAUGAAAUCUCUUAUCCUAUGAUUCAUACUUGAGUACAUGUCUUACAAUGAAUAUCCUAGUGAUUGGAUAUCUUAUGAUUCAUUAAGCAUGUUCAUAUGAGUUACUUAAGGUAAUACAAGCUAAGAGUUUUUGAAUCCAUCAAGUUUUAGUGUUUGAUUUUGAAAGGGUCAUCUUUGAACGAGUAUAACU
RNAcentral lists this long non-coding RNA (231 nucleotides) under Capsicum annuum. RNAcentral's name for it is "long non-coding RNA (CANN_LNC019580)". Lineage: Eukaryota; Viridiplantae; Streptophyta; Magnoliopsida; Solanales; Solanaceae. The record is from RNAcentral.